AUUAUCAUGCUCCACCACCAUUUGAGUUUACGAUUUGGCCGUGAAGCUUGUCGUACAUGUGGCAACCCUGUUCCUAUGCGAUUUGAGUGGGAGGUGGAUGACCUUUGUAG
Long non-coding RNA from Homarus americanus (American lobster), 110 nucleotides. RefSeq lists it as uncharacterized. The record is from RefSeq and is a predicted model, not a curated record. Lineage: Eukaryota; Metazoa; Arthropoda; Malacostraca; Decapoda; Nephropidae. The transcript is spliced from 3 exons.